This is a non-coding RNA of Poecilia reticulata (guppy), 4643 nucleotides long. Lineage: Eukaryota; Metazoa; Chordata; Actinopteri; Cyprinodontiformes; Poeciliidae. The record is from RefSeq and is a predicted model, not a curated record.
GGGCGGGGCCUGCAGGGGGCGGGGCCAGCGUCUAAUAAUUCACCACAUACAAACAUUUUCUCUAAACGUUUAUCUGCAUCAACCUUUUCGCCGUUUGAUUCCUGUUUUCUAAUGCUGGUGGAUUUACAGCCACAUAAGAGAGAAAUCCUUGUUUUUCAUAUGAAAUCAAAAGAUUUCCACUUUUCGAACAGUCGACAUGUUCAGAGCGUCGUUUCCUUUCCUCCACGGAACCAGGCGAACCCAGACUGGGUCCGUCCUCAUGCUUUAUAGAUCGGGUCGAUGGUCCGCAUCACUUCCUGGGUUGGAUCCCACAUCUUCACGUUGAAGCAUAAAAUAUCACGAGAUUUAAUUUAUUCUGUGCUACUGCAUACAGCAAGCAGUAACUUCGUUUCCCACAGAUUGUUUUUCUUCUGCUCAGUUUUGGAAAACUUUUUUUUUUCCUCUAAAUUAUUUAGAUACAUGCAGCCAAAACACACACACACACUUAUACAGAGGCGUUUAUGGAUCCAUAAAGAUCCAGAGUCAAGUUUUAUUCUUUGUGCGAAGCCUUGGAGCUUUUCACCGAACGACGUUUCUUCUGCUGUGGAUUCGGCCCACAGUGGAGACGAAGCCGACUUUGCUGAAGGCAUCGAUCCACUGCAAGGCAUGUAAGUACAUGGAUAUAAAAUAUUUAUUUACUUUUGAGAGAAAGAUGCAUAUAUACAUAUAUGUGUAUAACAUGUGAUUGUUUUAUGUCAUUACUUUCUGACUGAUCUGUAACUUCUGUGUCGGUGCUGGUGACGAUGUGGAGGAGACGGAGGAUGAGGAGAACAAGGAUGAAGAUGCUCUUGUACCUUCUGUUGAGGAUGGAGGGACCAACAGUCUGCAGAGUCCUUCAUCCAGCAGCAGAAAGGUCACCAGGUCAGACGUCCACUCGGGUCAGGAAGUCGGCUGGAGGACGGAGCAGGAAUCGGACCGGUUGCCUCGUCCUGCGCCGCCUUUCCUCCCCAACAGGAGGCCCGGUGUGCAGCCUCCACUGUCACAUGCUGACCGUGGUCCAAGUCCAGCAGAGCUUUUCAAGCUGUAUUUCCACCAGGCUGCCAUCAGAACUCUCUCUGUCAACACCAACAAAAAUGCAGCAAAACGUUUAUCUGCCUGUAAAAGCCGUAACUAGACCGACGUCUCGGAAGGGGAAAUGUAUCAGUACAUCGGGCUGCUGAUGUACACGCGGCUUCUGAAACGACCAAAAAUCAGAUUUCUGGAGAACCGGCACAAUGUUUCAGCUCUCGCAUCCGUCCAGAGGAAUGUCCAGAGAUCGGUUCCUGAGCAUCCGGGCCAACCUUCACCUGAGUGACCCGGAGGACGAUGCCGUCAACGACAGAAGGAAAGGCAGCCCCGAGUACGACUGCCUGCACAGGCUCCGCCCCCUCUACGACAGCGUGCGGGUUGCCUGCAGAGCCUCUGUGUUGAUGAGCCACCAAAGCACAGCCUGGCCUCAGGCAGCGUAGAAAAAGCAAACGGCAUCAUGGGGGAUCAAACUGUUUGUGCUGUGUGACUCCAGCGGCUACACGUGGACUUCCAGGUUUACACCGGCGGCUCCAGUCCGGCGUCUGGAGGCGGGCUGUCCUUCGAUGCCGUCAUGUCUCUGUCCAAUAAGGCCUUCCUGGGAUCUGGGUAUCACGUUUACUGUGACGGCUGUUACAGCAGCCCGGCGCUGUUCAGUCGCCUCCAUGAUCUGGGCUCCGGAGCCUGUGGGACGUUCAGAGACACCAGAGUCGGUGUUCCAAACACCAAGAUGGACGCCCUGACCAAACAGUCGCCUCGCGGCUCCAUCAGAUGGAUCAAGAGAGGGGCCUCUGCUGCUCAUCAGGUGGAUGGACGUGAGGCAGGUCAGUGUGUGCUCCACCCUGCACACGGCCUGUUCAGGAGACGCCGUCAGACGGGUCAGCAGGGCUGGACGAAAGCAUGGAGUUCUGGAGGUUCCAGUGCCGGCGGCUGUCAAAGACUACAACCGCUUCACGUGGGCCGGUCGGACCAGCUGACCGGCUCCGCCUCCUGGCCAUUGACGGUCCUGCAGCAUCUGGUUGAUGUGGCCGUUAGAAACGGCUUCCUGCUCCACAGGGAGCCGAGUGGCCAGCGGGGGCAGCAGGUCCUGAUGCUGCAGGCCUUUCAGGAGCAGCUGACCGCCCAGCUGUGUGGCGAAGGCCCACCGCCAGCCCCGACCAGCAGCAACCUGCACCACCUGCCUGGGGGCGUCUGGUCAGAACAAGGCCACCAGGGGGCGCCGCAGGUGCAGAGUGUGCUCCAAAUCCACUCGGUUCAUGUGUGAGGCCUGCAGACGCCUCUGUGCGUCAUCCUGGACAGGAACGGCCACCAGCAGCAGCAACAAGUGAUUCAACACUAACUUUUAUUUCACGUUGUUGCAUUUUGUCACAUUUCUGCAACUGAAACGUUUUGCAAACUCAAAAUAAAUGUUUUGUGGUUCAGAAGGUUUGUGUGUAAGUUUGUUGACAAUUUUAAGGGAUAAAAUUUUUAUAUUUACAAAAAUGUUCUAAGAAAAUCGAAACAAAUUUGUGUUUUUUGUUGCAUUUUAUUUGGUUGCUAUUGAUUAUUAACAUACAGAUUUUGAACAAUAAGGAUGAGGAUUGUAUUAAAAACGGCUCUGCAGCAUCAGACACGAGACAAUAAGGAUUAAUAUAUGAAUAAAAGUAUAAAUAUUCCCUUUGAUCAGCCAGGUGACCUUUGACCUGUCAGUCAGGUGGCUUAACGUCUGGUUAACAAACCUGUCCUUAAUUAAUCCUAAUUUACAGGAAGCAGCCGCUGCUGCUCCCAUUAAUACAUAUUAAUGUAAAUUAGUAUAAAUACCUGGAAGUCUGCCGCCAGGUGAAGCGGUAACCAUGGCAACGGCCCUGUUGGUAGCAGUAUGAGUAUUAUAAUAUAUUUAAAAUGUGCUUUCAGGGCUCAUGAUGUCACCUCAGGAAUAAAAAUACAUUUUAAUCUGAUCUGUGAUCAGAGCUCCUCAGGUAGCGGCUCACCUGGACCAGCUGCAGCCAUGCAGGAUUCUGUCCACACCUUAAAUAAUCAACCUGUUUUCUUCCGUCAGAGUUAAAUGAGCUCACAGAUCAAAGAGUUACAACUUUACGAGACACAAACUGAGGGACAGUUUUACUUAAUGCUAUGCAGGUCUCACUCUGCAGGGGAUCCAUGAGCAGCAGCAGCUACCGGUUCAGGAUGAAGGUUGAACAAUAAGCAUUUAAUGUACGACACGUUCAGCUGGUUGGUGCCGACUGCGAGUUCGUAAUUUCCUUCGCCCGUUUGAAAGGGCGGCGCGUGUUGAGCAGUCGGCUCACAGCACCGCCUGCUCCCAUGUUUUCAUUUAUUUCAUUUUCCUUCUGAAUAAUAUCCAAUCCUCCAGGCUCAUUUCUGUAGGUCUUCAUCUGUUGAUUCUUAGGAUCUCUGCACUGUCCAACAGUAAGUAGCGGUUCUUACUUAAAAUCCCUCAAUAUCUAUAUAUAUACAUGUCUGCAUCUCAUACUGAAGUACAGAGUCGGUGUAAAACUGUAAGCAGGAACCAAACUGUUUGAAUGGUUCAGGAAACUAACAGAUUUUAUUGUUUUUCUUUUUGUCUUGCUGUAGAUUUAAUCUGUGAUGCUGCAGCUGAGGCGGCUGGAGACCCAGCAGCCAAUCAGACGUCGGCUGGACCGAACCGGCCAGCAGCUGCUGGUGGACAGACUGGGACCAGCGCCGCUCCAGGGACUUUCAGGUCCGUGGAAAAGAGGCAGAGAGCCCGGAAACUGCGCAGCAGACUGUCGUUAGUCCAUGGAUUAAUCUCAGAGUCUCUGCUGCUGUUGGGAAAAACUCCAGGAAGACGUUCAGCGCGCAGAAGAAGCGCCGUCCGCCAUCCUGACGGUUUAGGCCAAACUAAGGCCACUGUGCUGCUUCAUGCGACUCGGACUCUGUUACACAGCGUCACCUCUGACCUGAAGGUCAUUUCUAGGGAUUCGUGUGACUCUUCCUGCUAACUCUGAGGUGUGGGAGACCAAGAGGGCAGAGUUGAUUCAGAUGAAAUGAGAAAUGUAGAAGAAUUAAGAGAAAUCUCUGAUGCUGCUCAGAUUAUUUUAGACCAACUGAAAGGCCUCUUUGUGGGAAUCAACCUCCAGCUUCUGCUGAUGGUCAAGAAGAUGCAUUAAAUGAAAACUAGACCAGGGAAUUACCUCAGGGAUUUAACUGAUGGGCUGGGAGGCUCAACUCAGGAACCAAAAAACUGCUGAACCAAGCAGAAAACAAAAAGAGGUGAUCUGACAGCGUCAGGAGCUCCAGCAAAUGGGACGAAGAGGCUUCCUGUUACAAUACGCUGCAUUUCUUACGUUUUGCUUUGUGUGAUAAGGGAAGGCGUUUUCCUGAUGGAUCAACUCUACCUUUUGGUUAUUAGGUUUAAGAGAGAAACAAAAGAAAAACCUCAUUCCGGAGAUUUGAUUAGAUUUAGAUUGAAGAAACCUGUCUGAUGUGUGACUGUGGGACCAAGUGGGUCUGGGAAAACUGUCAUCAUGUUUUACAGGAUGUAACCAUGAACUGUGACGGAUAACGUUGUUUGGAUUUAUACUCUUUUUCAUCAUAUGUAUCCUGAAUUGUAGAAAAUGAAUAAAAAUAUAGAAUCUGUUGAA